This 382-nucleotide unclassified non-coding RNA is filed under the name soil metagenome. RNAcentral describes it as "partial contains 5.8S ribosomal RNA, internal transcribed spacer 2, and large subunit ribosomal RNA". The stretch from base 1 to 120 matches the Rfam family "5.8S ribosomal RNA", at positions 35 to 154 of the family's 154-position model. The record is from RNAcentral.
GAUGAAGAACGUAGCGAAAUGCGAUAAGUAAUGUGAAUUGCAGAAUUCAGUGAAUCAUCGAAUCUUUGAACGCACCUUGCACCCUUUGGCAUUCCGAAGGGUAUGCUCGUUUGAGUGUCAUUGUACUCUCACUCUCCCGAUACUUUUGGAUCGGGAGUGGUGGACUUGGGUGUUGCUGCUUAACUGUGGCUCGCCUUAAAUGAAGUAGUGCAACUCUCGGUUGGACAUAGUACGGCGUGAUAAGUGUCUUCGCCGGCGCCUCAUUCGAGGGUGGCCGAUCGGGAGCUCUGUGCUUCAAACUGUCUUCGGACAACAUCUGACAACUUGACCUCAAAUCGAGUAGGACUACCCGCUGAACUUAAGCAUAUCAAUAAGCGGAGGA